UCUUAAAAAUUUCAUCGAUUUCUAUUGUUAAAAAAAUGUCAUGGCUAAUAGAAUAAGUAGAAAGUUACAUGUGGCGUGCCACGUGUCUCUCAUUCUGAUAUAUAGGGACCAAAUUUAACAGUAAAAAUGGAUAAAUUUUUUAACA
RNAcentral lists this microRNA precursor (145 nucleotides) under Gossypium hirsutum (cotton). RNAcentral describes it as "MIR7502 microRNA precursor family". It matches the Rfam family "MIR7502 microRNA precursor family". Lineage: Eukaryota; Viridiplantae; Streptophyta; Magnoliopsida; Malvales; Malvaceae. The record is from Rfam by way of RNAcentral.